RNAcentral lists this long non-coding RNA (961 nucleotides) under Equus caballus (horse). Its description in RNAcentral is "lncRNA (ENSECAG00000056487.1)". Lineage: Eukaryota; Metazoa; Chordata; Mammalia; Perissodactyla; Equidae. The record is from RNAcentral.
CAAACUCUCGUCCUGGAUGUUCUCAUUCAGUGCGACUGGGGUGAGGCAUGACGACUGUAUUUUCAUCAGGCAUUCCAGGCGACUCUCAUGAGGAGGUAAGUGAGAAACACAUCAGGUGUUAUCAUUACCCCCACUUUACUGAUAAGGAGAGCGAGUCUUAGACCAGGGCUUCUCCCAUGCGCUCUAAUGUGCAGGAGAGUCACCCGGGGAUUCUGAUUCGCUGUGGGCAGACAAUGGCGGACAAACAUGGGUGCGUGCCUCGCUCUCUCUCCCUGGCAACCCUCCAAAUGGCAUGAGCAGCUGCUGAGGCCUGAACUCACCUGGCACCCACACUUACAGCUUUUUGAAGAUGGAGACAAAAGCCAGGCUGCCCUGCCCUUGAGAUCAGAGAGGGAACAGACGUCCAUGGCCUGAUUAACUAGAAUGCCAGACCACCGGAGACAGACAAACAUUCCAACCACAAAAUUCAUUUGGAAGACUCAAAGCAGAGAAUGCUGUCAAAGAAGACUGGCUGUAAUUUCAGAAGCCAUAAGAGGCACCACUUGACAUGAAUAAUAAAAAUAAAAGCUGUCAUUCACCGAGGGACUGCUGUUGCUGGUCGCUGUUCUCAGUUCUCUCCACGCAUGAUCUCCCUUCAUCCUGGAGUAGGUACUUUUGGCCCCUCUGAAUAGGCCAGGGGAUGCACGUUCAGAAGUCCCCAGGUCACACACAUCUCUUCAGUGGCAGAGAUGGGGUCUGAACCCCUCCCUAGCUCUUAACCACUUUGUGUUCUCCUUCUCACUCUGGUAGCUGAGCCUCGUAUAUCAUUGCCUGCUUUGGCCUUUAAACAAAGAAAUAUUCUUCCUCUGACUAUGCAGUGUAAUAAUUAUCCCAGAUGAGCCGAGGGGAGACGGAGCCCAGCUUCUCUGUACCCACAUCCAUCUCUCCAAGUGCCUGCUCUCCAGCGAGUAAACAGACAGAC